Molecule: ribosomal RNA, 295 nt
Filed under: uncultured bacterium
Lineage: Bacteria
Description: partial 16S ribosomal RNA
Rfam family: Bacterial small subunit ribosomal RNA
Source: RNAcentral
AUCCUACGGGACGCAGCAGUGAGGAAUAUUGGUCAAUGGGCGGGAGCCUGAACCAGCCAAGUCGCGUGAGGGAAGACGGUCCUAUGGAUUGUAAACCUCUUUAGGCGGGGAGCAAUGCCGGGCACGCGUGCCCGGAGGGAGAGUACCCGCAGAAUAAGCAUCGGCUAACUCCGUGCCAGCAGCCGCGGUAAUACGGAGGAUGCGAGCGUUAUCCGGAUUUAUUGGGUUUAAAGGGUGCGCAGGCGGGAGAUCAAGUCAGCGGUAAAAUGUCGGGGCUCAACCCCGGCCGGCCGUU